AACACAUGCAAGUCGAACGGAGAAAGAUGAGCUUGCUCAUUUUUCUUAGUGGCGGACGGGUGAGUAACACGUGAGCAACCUGCCUUUCAGAGGGGGAUAACGUUUGGAAACGAACGCUAAUACCGCAUGAAAUAUUCUUGUGGCAUCACAGGGAUAUCAAAGGAGCAAUCCGCUGAGAGAUGGGCUCGCGGCCGAUUAGAUGGUUGGCGGGGUAACGGCCCACCAAGUCGACGAUCGGUAGCCGGACUGAGAGGUUGAACGGCCACAUUGGGACUGAGACACGGCCCAGACUCCUACGGGAGGCAGCAGUGGGGAAUAUUAGGCAAUGGGCGAAAGCCUGACCUAGCGACGCCGCGUGAGGGAAGACGGUCUUCGGAUUGUAAACCUCUGUCUUCAGGGACGAAGAAGAUGACGGUACCUGAAGAGGAAGCCACGGCUAACUACGUGCCAGCAGCCGCGGUAAUACGUAGGUGGCGAGCGUUGUCCGGAAUUACUGGGUGUAAAGGGAGCGUAGGCGGGUACGCAAGUUGAAUGUGAAAACUAACGGCUCAACCGAUAGUUGCGUUCAAAACUGCGGAUCUUGAGUGAAGUAGAGGCAGGCGGAAUUCCUAGUGUAGCGGUAAAAUGCGUAGAUAUUAGGAGGAACACCAGUGGCGAAGGCGGCCUGCUGGGCUUUACUGACGCUGAGGCUCGAAA
Molecule: ribosomal RNA, 696 nt
Filed under: uncultured Lachnospiraceae bacterium
Lineage: Bacteria; Bacillati; Bacillota; Clostridia; Lachnospirales; Lachnospiraceae
Description: bacterial SSU rRNA
Rfam family: Bacterial small subunit ribosomal RNA
Source: RNAcentral